Long non-coding RNA from Sorghum bicolor (sorghum), 4254 nucleotides. RefSeq lists it as uncharacterized. Lineage: Eukaryota; Viridiplantae; Streptophyta; Magnoliopsida; Poales; Poaceae. The record is from RefSeq and is a predicted model, not a curated record. The transcript is spliced from 2 exons.
UCGUGUGAGGGUGUAGGGAGAGGAAGCACUAACCGCCGCCGCCGACCUCCCUUCGCUGUAAUCGCCAGCCGUCCUUGUCCUCUAUCUUUCGCAUUCCAGGGGUGGUUGUAGUGUUAUUGUCUCCGGAUUUCUCGUCGAUUUCGCUUGCUAAGUUCUUCGAAAUCCUAUUUUACCAUCUUUGUUUGCGUUUGUAUCUCUGUUGCUGUUGUGGGUCUGUUUGAUGGAUUGGUGCAGAUGAGGAUUCACAAGUUUUAAUGGGUAAUUUGCAUCUGAGGCAUCUCUGUGAUGUCACACCCUUUUUCACCUUGGAGAUCUGAUGCACCCACCACUCUGUCCAAAUAUCUCCCUCAAGCAGUAGACAUUUUUUUUUUCAUUUUUUCUGCCUCUGUAACCUUCGAUUUAGAUGUCUCGAUUUGGACUGAUAUUUCUGAGGGAAGGAAAUCAAAUCUCUGCUCGUGGUUCAUUGAUGCCUACCGAUCCGGUCUCUGUAUGUGUGGAGAUGAAAUGAUGACGAAAGUGUUUCCCUAUUGGUUUGAUUGGCCGCAAUGAUGGCUCAAACUGUAUUAGCUCUAUCUGAUCAUCUCCCGUCUCUUUAUCAAACUAUAAAUGUGUAAUUUUCCUUAGAAAACGAUUUCUAUGUCUUCACUCAAAGUGAUCUCGCCAUUCCCACCAUCCUUACAUUACUCAGCCAUCACCAGUUCCUCGUAUUUAGUCAGAUUAGUUUUUUUUAUAAAAAAAAAUCCCCUCUUGACGUCAAUGUUAUUAGUUGAGGAUAUGAUGACCCUUUCCCCAGAUGAUCGACAGUGAACAUACUGAGCGCUAUAAUUUCUCAUUUGAGAACCAAGCCAGAAUUCUGAUCCUCUGAUUGUUUUCUGAAAAAAAAACAAUUUCUCUUGAUUGUUUGUUGAUUUACCUUUUUUCUUUGUAUCUAUACUAUAAUGUGUCACCUUGUUGUCUGCAUAUAUGGUACCUUUGCACCAUUGCAUGAAGCAUUGGUUGAGCAUGAGUGGGGACAUUCGGCUGGGCUUGUCUCAAGUUUAAUGUGUUAUUCCUAUUUCUUUGAGAACGAUUUGUAUGUAUACACCAAAAUCAUUUAACAUUUUGACAGCUCAACAGUAUAGAUAUUUAGCACAGUGAAACUAAACUGAGCCGGAGAUAUGAUGAGCUCUGUUGAGCUGCGUUCCCGCUGGAUGAUUUUUAGGGCGACAUGGAGAUCAGAUGGAUCGCGGACUCACUUCUCAACCCGUGGGCCGUGUGGAAUGGCCGAAUGGUCUGAAAUUGUGAACCAAACCAACUGUGCAGGUGUAUUUUGUUUGAUGAGCUGUCAGAACCAGGAAGCGUGCUCUCUCAGUUGUGUAGUGAAUUUUGUUUUGGAAAAAAACGAAGUAGCAGUACUAGGAUUUUUUAUGACAUGACAAUGAAUCUUGGAAGGGUGAAAAAACAAAGUAUUGUGACAGAUUGAACAAGACGAUCAACUCUUGUGAUCAACUAUCUAAUAAAACCUUGUAUUGAGAUUGCAAGUUUCAGUUUUCUCAAAAAAAAAAAAAAAUCCAAGUUUCAGUUUUGGAAACAUUAGACUGACCUAAAUCUUAGAUAGUGAAGUUUCUAUAACGUCUCCGAAUCACCAUGAAUCCAUGAUUCUCAACGGUUGUUGUACUGUUUUCAGCAUUUCUGCUACGUUUGGAAUUCUGGAUAAACUACAGAAAUUGUAUGUUAGGAAUUUUGAGGCCUUGUUUAGUUCUUAAAAUUUUUCAAGAUUUUACGUCACAUCGAAUCUUGUGGCAUAUGUAUGAGGAAUUAAAUAUAGAUGAAAAUAAAAACUAAUUACACAGUUAGCUUUUAAAUCGCUAGAUGAAUCUUUUGACCCUUGUUAGUGUAUGAUUGGACAAUAUUUGCCACAAACAAAAUGAAAGUGCUCUAGUAGUGAAAUUUAAAAAUUUUCACGGACUGAACCAGGCCUGAAUCGUUGAGCUGGGUCAGAAAUUUCUUUUGUUCAUCCAGGUGCAAAAUUGAACAAAUAAAAAAAAAAAGCAUUCCAAAUCCAGCCGGUCGCCGGAGGCACAGCCUAGUGCUUGGAUCGAAUACCCAAAUUGCCCGUUCCCUCCCCUCAAAAAAAAAAAAAAAAAAGGCCGUUCCCCGGAGGCACAGCCUAGUGCGGCUUUCUCGUCACUGCUCGCCCCUCACCAGCUGUCUUCCGCUCAUCCUCACCAGUGAUGGAACCACCGGCGGUGGCUUCUACUUUGCAGCUGCAGCUGCCUCUCGUGGUUUGAACAAGUGCUGGAUUCAGACUACGUGGCAUCACGCAGGAACAGCUAAGGUCCGCGUCAGCAUUUGUCUGCCACGACGUACGUGCACGGUGACGUGGAGUCGACGUCAUGCUUAUUGGCAGCCGGCAGCAACAUACAGUAGGUGCUCGUCCGCUCCAAAUAUAUGGUCAAAAAUUGUUUGCUAAUGGUCAAAAAAAAUGACAACAAUCCGAGACAUUGCCACCAACCGAGACACGUCAUUAUUGUUAUUAUCGUUAUCCGUGGUGUAGCUACCCAGUCCAACAGACGUAAUACAGUACUAGACUAAAAGCGAUGCAUAACCAACAACUGUUGGUGUGCUGCCUUCACAAAGGUACAAACAUGAUCGUCAUGUUUGUUUGGCUAUAAAUCAUGACAGAAAGUACCGUUGACUAAUUUGUUGUGAGAGAAAAAUAUUGCUGAAUGGCUGACAGAUUCGGCUAAUAAGCUCAAUCGAACACAGCAAAUCCGACAUAUAAUUAUAAGUAUCAUGCACGCUAAAAACAGCGCCUAGGAUCAAAUGCAAUAUUUUCUUUAGUUACCCCCUUGGUUCCUAAACAAAUCUACUUGUUAUAGAAAAAAUCGCCUUCUAAAAUGAUAUUCUAAAAUAAACUUGUGUGAGUUUGACCAAAUAUAUAUUACAGAAAGAUUUGAAAUUUUUAUGAUACAAAAAAUAGUUUUAUGAAAUAUAUUUUUAUAAUAAUGAUUUAUUCGGUGUUAUAAAGCUGAUAUUUUUCAUAUGAGAUUGAUCAAGCUUACAAAAAUUCAACUUAAAACAACUUUACAAAGUUUUGAUUUAUUUUAAGGAGGGAGUAACUAACAAGAUCAGCACGUUUGCGGUCAGAGGCAGAGCUCUCCAUGCGACAGGGUGGGGCAGCUGCCCCACCUACUGCUGGGGUAAGACCACUAGUACCUCCAUGUCUUCCUCCCUUCACGUGAUGGAGCAGCUAGCAUCCGACACAUGCAGCGACGAGCAGUCGUCAAGAGCAGUAGCCAGACAGAAUGGAAAAUAGGGAGGGAAGAAAAGAAAGGCCCAAUAAACCCAGCUAUCCCAAGUAGAAGCGUCCCUACUGAACCCCUAAUUCCCAAUCGAGCUCACUACUCGGCUUACUGCUCCUCCCGUUCGCCGUUCGCGACUUCGCGUCUGCCGGUCCGUGCCUCCACGGUCCGCUUCCCGCUGGCCGCCGGCACAAGGUCGGAGCUCCGCGCAACACCCCAAGCCAGGCCCCAAGCUGGCCAGCCCCCAACUCCAAGCCCACGCCGCGCACUCGACGCUCGCUGUCUGCUCCCGCAGACCGCAGUCCCGCAGUCCCGCUCUAAGCUGCUCUGAUGGCCGGCGAGGAGAUGACAAGCGCUGGCCACGGGCGUGGGCGUGGGCAUGGCCGGGGAGAAGGUGAAGGAGCACGAGAAGGAGGAGCAGGCCGAGGUCAUGGCCGAUGCGCAGGCACCCUAAACAGAAGCAGUCAUGCCUCUUCUGGUAUUGGAAAGAAAAAAUUUGUAACAAGAGAUUUGAAGUCAUUUUAUUCAAGUAUGAAUCUUGGUUCUGAAUCCCACCCAAGUACCCAUAAAAGUCAAAUUGGUGUGGCCACGGAAUCUGAAGAAAUACAUCAAGAACUAGUUAUAGUUUCUGAAGUUGAAUCAACUGAUGUUAGCACAGAACAAGCUCAAGCCCAAACAGAGCAAGCUAUUGAUGUGUGUCUUUACUAUGUCAUUUAAAAGUUGUGUCUGCAAUUCGCCCCACCAAAAUUUAUGUUCGAGCUCCGCCACUGUUUGCGGUGACGCGGAGCCGACGUCAUCCCGUCUAAUAGCGAGCAUAUAUGCGGAGCCUAGGGGCUUUUAUCAUUAGCCAGCUAGUAGGAACAAAGAUAUGUCAUUGUCAUUUGCGUGAUGGGUAGGUUAGAUGCUACAAGAUUAAAUGGUCAAAUGACACGACAAAUUUCCACCAACCAAGAGAUUUGGGGGUGGAUUC